UUCAAGCUUCGUCAGGAGAAUGCUUCAUGUUGGCCAUGAAUAUGUAUGCUGAUCACGAGCUAGACGCUCUGUUCAUCCAAUGGCAAUGGAGGCUAUGAUGGCUCCUUUGGGACGACCCUGAGGUCAUUGCAUCCUUUAAAGUGAUAGUUUAAAAAUAUAAAAGCUAUUUGGUAGCCCGCUGUGCACAUGCUACCUAUAGCAAUGAUAAUACCUUGCAUUUGCAUUUAAGCUUAGAGAUGUGAAAUAGCUGAGGUGACAAAUUGAAGCAGUCAGUUUGGGAGGAAAUCCUUCCUACUAGGAGCUGAAUGAUUUCUCCAAAACUAAAGGAAGGCUGGGUUAGUUUUCCUUCCCAUGUAAAGAAGUCAAGCUGGGCAAAAUCAGACAGGUUGAGGGCAUGGUAAUAUCCCUCUUAUUGGCAUGGGAAGGUUGGUUGGGGGGUAGAAGGAGAGUUGCCACUUACACAGGUGCCGACUUUCCAAUGUACUCUCGGCUCUGCCCCAGGCUCCGCCCCCACUCCAACACUUUCCCCAAGGGCCCACCUCUACCCCACCUCUUCCUGCUCCAUUCCACCCCCUCCCCAAGUGCACCCUGUCCUCGCUCCUCCUCCUCAGACCCUCCUCUGCAUACCGCGAAACAGCUGAUCAUGAUGGGAUGUACAGGGAGGGAGGGAGAGGCACUGAUCUGUGGGGUCGCCAGUGGACAAGAGGUGCUGGGGGAUGAAGGAGUGGCUGAUGGGGGGCUGCCGAUGGGUGCUCAGCACCCACCAUUUUUUCCCUGUGGGUGCUCCAGCCCCAGAGCACCCACAGAGUAGGUGCCUAUGCACUAUUCAGUGCUCUCCACCAGGGCCCUUCAAGCACUCUUGGAGGUGUUCUGUUGCCCCCUGGCUGGCCACUGCAUGCCACCUCUCCACCCUGUAGGAUGUGAGUGGCAGACCUGGGAAGCUGGAGCAGAGAUCCUCAGCUGGUGUGAAUUGUCAUAUCUCCAUCCCUCCAGCAGAGAGUGUACCCAGGGAUGUUUAUUAUAAUGAUUUGCAUUGCAGUAAUGGCUAGAAACCUCAGUUAGGGACCCAACCCUAUUGUGCGAGGCACUGUAAACACAUGUAAUGAAAAGAUGGCUCUAACAGGUUGGCUUGCCCCAGGGAUGUGGAGCCUCGGGCUAAGCCAACCGUGAUUACAGGAUAAGUCCCACCUGAGUCAGGAAAAUUCCUUCUGAAGGGGAGCAGGUGGCUGCAGUAAGGUGGGACUGAACUGACAGACAGACGGAUGAAACUUCAGGUAAUAAGAAAGGCUCCUACAGGGAAGAGCUUGAUAUGAGAGGGUACUUUGGAGGCCAGAGCCAAAAAACGGAGACUCCAGCCAAGCAGGGCCUGGGAGUUGCCUGCCAAAGCAGGAAAACUCUCAGGCAAGAAGGCCUGGGGGUAGGGUGAAUUCCAGCAGGCUCCAACAGAAAAACCUGGGAGGAGGGAUUUCCCUACAGGCAGCCCAAGGAGGAAAAGUCUGUGAGUGACCAACAAGAGGAUAAAACUGAUGGUCUGUGUUUUGAGACUCUGCAUUUUGUUUUGGAGCUUUAUUUCUGUCACUGCACUUGGACCCCUGAGAAGGGGUGGCGAAUGGAUGAGAAAAGUCAGUGUAAGAGAAGUGACAUGACAAUGACUUGUACUAGGUGUACAAUAGGGUUUGGGGUUUAUCCGAAGAUGCGGAGCGAGUGAAGGACCCGCCGCCGCCGCAGACUCGGAGCGCCGCCCAAACAAUCUCAAACCAAGAUCUAUUGACACAGUGCAGCUAAGAGGAUCUGAGCGCCAUCAUUACCAGGAGACGUUGGAGAUGGAUUGGUCAGGUGCUUCAGAUGGAAACUGAUUCCAUCACCAGAGUUGCAAUAAUAUGGACAGCUGAAGGCAAGCGAAAAUGAGGCUGCCUGAAAACAACAUGGCGAAGAGCUGUGGAAGACAAGCUGAAAAACCUGGGGCACAGCUGGGAAACCAUUGAAAGACUUGCCAGAAACAGACAGGAGUGGAGGAGCUUCAUCACUGCCCUAAACGCCGGAGUCGUAAUAGGGACAUGAUGAUGAUGAGAUGGAGAAUCCACCACGACUGUUGGUGAACAGCCGAGGCUGGGUCCAUCAUAUCUUUGAUCUGGCUUGUCCUUUAAGGCUGAUCUGUGAGCACAGGAUGCUCUCCAUUUACUGAACAGGUUAUAGCACUAUUCAAACGAAUGCAGCCUAAUGGCUUUUUCACUGGGGUCCCUAUACCUCUUGCCGUGCCAUGUAUUUAUCAGGACGCCAGUGUUGCUCUUAACAGGAACAUGAUGAAUUCGAGAUGACUCACGCUUGGAAUGAGUGGAAACAACGACAUUAAGCCACAAUCCUCGGCCCAGGAUGGCUGCGUGUGUGAAGGACGUCAGUGCCAGUGGGUUCAACACAGUGCCCCCUGUAGGAAGACCACAAUACCCACUCCCCUCCAACCUGAGGUUGCGCAAACUUUGCAGCACGAAGGGAGGUGCUGGGAACUUGUGAACAGCUUGUCAGCCUUGGAUUAACUUCUAAGUACAAUUGCAUUCGAGAUUGGCCAGCGAUCCAAAUUAGGCAACCUGUGUUGCAUUGUCACCUGCAUUGGUAAAGAUUUCAACUGAUGCAAACCACCCAGCUGAUCAUAGUUAGUAGUUCUUGGUGCUACUGCGAACCGGCAUAACCCCAUUGGCUUCAAUGGAGCUACAGCCGUUGACACCAGCUGAGGAAGAAGCCUGUCGUUUUAUUCUUGCAUAUGCAGGCAAGUUCUGCUUUCUCCAGCCCGGAAAACCUGAG
This is a long non-coding RNA of Mauremys reevesii (Reeves's turtle), 2799 nucleotides long. RefSeq lists it as uncharacterized. The transcript has 4 exons. The record is from RefSeq and is a predicted model, not a curated record. Lineage: Eukaryota; Metazoa; Chordata; Testudines; Geoemydidae.